This 165-nucleotide small nuclear RNA is filed under the name Pogona vitticeps (central bearded dragon). RNAcentral describes it as "U1 spliceosomal RNA (ENSPVIG00000021724.1)". It matches the Rfam family "U1 spliceosomal RNA". Rfam says of the family: U1 is a small nuclear RNA (snRNA) component of the spliceosome (involved in pre-mRNA splicing). The record is from Rfam by way of RNAcentral. Lineage: Eukaryota; Metazoa; Chordata; Lepidosauria; Squamata; Agamidae.
AGUCAUACCUUUCAGAGAAAAUACCAUGUCAUAAAAGUGGGCCUCCUAGGGGGAGGCUCAUCUAUUGCAGUUCAGGUGUGCUGCUGAUCUCUAUGAUUCCCCAAAUGUGGGUAACUCAACUGCAUAAUUUGUGUUAAUGGGGGAUUUCCCUUGCGAUUUCCCUGG